This 1526-nucleotide long non-coding RNA is filed under the name Equus caballus (horse). RNAcentral describes it as "lncRNA (ENSECAG00000051856.1)". The record is from RNAcentral. Lineage: Eukaryota; Metazoa; Chordata; Mammalia; Perissodactyla; Equidae.
ACCUCAUUAACAUAACAAAAGAUAGAUUUAUGCUCUCAUCACUUAGAAGAUGCCAAGGGUUUAGGAGUUCUGUGCCAGCAACUGGAUGAAGAGCAAAUAUAUAUUUCUUAUUAUAAAAUCACAACGUCACAGUUGCCUUUACCAGAAAAGAGGAAAUGGAUUUUAGACAGCCAACAUACCGCUACAUUGGGGAACAUCCAUGAAGGAGAACUAAGUUGGAUUUUGAAGUGUUGCAUUGCAUUGUGGACCAGAAAAAGCUCUGUGCAUAGGUUCUAGAUAACACAGCCUACUUCAAGCCCUUCAGAAAAUCAGUCAACCAGUCUCUCAACCCGCUCACCAACCUGCCCACCCACCAACCGAUAAACCAGCCAGCAUUUGCUGAAGGCCCACUUUGCUGUUCCUGGAACAGUGUUUGGCACUGUGGGAAAUGCUAAAGCAGGACCAUACAGAGUCCCUGCCACCCUGAUGCUUAUAAUCUAGGUGGAGAGACAAGACAAAAAUACAUGACAGAAUUACAGAAUCUGACAGAAUGUAAUAAAGUGCUAAAUUGUGUGGUACAGACAAUUAGAGAACAAGACAGUAUAUAAUAAAGUGCUAAUUGUGUGGUACAGACAAUAAGUAUAAUAGGAGUUCAGUGAAGGGAUGGAUGAGUGUGGGCUGUAGUCUUCAGGGAAGGCUUCUCAUCAUGUCAGGCUGCCGUGUUUACCCAGUGCAUGAUGGGAAACUGAAUAUGAAAUAGAAGAUGGAUUAAGAACAGAAUAACCGUACUGUACCGUGGAGUCUCGUCUCAGUCUGCAUGAGGACAGAAAGAGAAAGAGUUCUUUGAGAGGUGGUAUUCUCCAUUAAAAAGGAGAAUAGAGAAAUACCUUAUUUUCUUUAUUAAUUAUGUUACAGAAAAUUUCCACAGAAACCUAAAAUUGUAUUUUAAAUUGAAAAAUGUUUUACGUGUACUAGGAGAGUUCAGUAUUUAAAGAAAUCGUGUCAUAAAUUUUUUUCAUUAACGAAGAAUUCUUUUAUAUGAUAAUCACUUACUAGUCUAUCUUUAUACAGGAUUCCUUAAAGCAAAUAAAUAGAUACUCUUGACUACUACUGGCAGGACUGAUAAAACUUUUGCAAGAUAAUUUAGCAAUGUGUACUUCAAAUCUUGAAAAUAUGCAUAUUCUACAGCUUAUCAGUUUCACUUCUGGGGAAUCAUCCUAAGGAUGUAAUCACAGCUGAUUGCAAGAAUAACUGUUCUACAAAGAUAAUUAUCACAGAGUUGAGAGAAACUGGGGACAUCUAAAUGUCCCCAAAUAGAGGACUGAUGAAAUAAAUUAACACAUAUUUAUAAAAUGGAAUGUGUAGUCACCAAAAUGUUACCAUAGAAAGAUAUUUAAUAUGAUAGAAAAUGUUUACAGUAUGUAGAUAAGUAAAAAAAAAUCUGAAACUUGUAGAGUAUGAUUCCACUUUUGUUAAAAAUAUGUUUUAUGCAGAGAAACAUCUGAGUGGUGAAGAUAGAUGUAGUUUCCACUUUAUGCUUUUGUGUA